AAGCUCUGGUCUCCCUUCAGUUAACGUAUUAAUCUUUCGCCUUUUACUAAAGAUUACCGUGGAGGGUGACACACAAUAUGAGCCUUUAGCGAAUUUUUGCACCCCCCUCUGGGGGGU
Molecule: small nuclear RNA, 117 nt
Organism: Tetranychus urticae (two-spotted spider mite)
Lineage: Eukaryota; Metazoa; Arthropoda; Arachnida; Trombidiformes; Tetranychidae
Rfam family: U5 spliceosomal RNA
About the family: U5 RNA is a component of both types of known spliceosome. The precise function of this molecule is unknown, though it is known that the 5' loop is required for splice site selection and p220 binding, and that both the 3' stem-loop and the Sm site are important for Sm protein binding and cap methylation.
Source: Rfam